AUAACUGCACAUUGCCUGGACGACUGCAGACCUUUCUUCGUGAGAAUAUAUCCUUCCGGGUAGUGCCACCUGCUUGUAGGCCAUACAAAAAUGUCUCCCGUCUAUGGACUUUCCACCUUCGUGCUUCUUAUCGUGACCUUCCUGGCGGCCGAAGGAGAGGCGUGCGACAUGGCUAAACAAGCCAUGAACGCAGUGUGUAGUAUCCUCGGACGCGAGGACAAGCCUGCCCAAAAUCUAUUUCUCUGAGGAAAAUUUCAGCAGCGGCACAAGUCCAGCCGAGUCUUGGCUCAACGCUUGUUGAAUAAAAGAGAAUGCGCUGCGUG
Molecule: long non-coding RNA, 323 nt
Organism: Rhipicephalus sanguineus (brown dog tick)
Lineage: Eukaryota; Metazoa; Arthropoda; Arachnida; Ixodida; Ixodidae
Exons: 3
Source: RefSeq, a predicted model, not a curated record